RNAcentral lists this ribosomal RNA (1119 nucleotides) under Triticum aestivum (bread wheat). Its description in RNAcentral is "partial small subunit ribosomal RNA". Lineage: Eukaryota; Viridiplantae; Streptophyta; Magnoliopsida; Poales; Poaceae. The record is from RNAcentral.
AUGAGUUUCUCUGGCGCUGUGCAAUGGUGGGAUGAGUGGCAGCUGCGCAUUCUGGUGCUGGGCAGCCUCUUCAUCCAGUACUUCCUCUUCUUCUCCUCCCUGGUGCGCAGGUGUGCUCUUCCAUCUUGGCUCAGACUGUUUAUGUGGCUUGCCUACCUAGGCGGGGAUGCUCUGGCCAUAUACGCCCUGGCCACCCUCUUCAACCGCCACAAGCAGCUGCCCGCCAAUGGGAGCGGCCUGCAGGUCCUGUGGACGCCUGUCCUCCUCAUCCACCUCAGGGGCCAGCACGCGAUGACCGCCUACAACAUCGAAGACAACGAGCUGUGGACUCGGCAUGCCAUAACCGCAGUGUCCCAGGUCACGGUCGCCCUCUACGUGUUCUGCACGUCGUGGUCCGGGGAGAAGAGGUUACUGCAGGCUGCAAUCUUGCUGUUCGUCGUUGGGAUUAUCAGGUCCAUCCAGAAGCCAUGGGCUCUGAAGAACGCCAGUAUCAGUGGCAUGGUCGCCUCUUCCUCCCCAUCCACGCGCGAACAAGGUCUGGUUGCACGUUGGUGCGGAGACUGCAUUUCCCGUCUUGGAUAUGAGUUUUCCAAAAGUGGAAGACAAGAAGAAGCAGUCGAAGAGAAGGACAUUCCGCUUGAAGAAUUUAUACAACAAGCAAGCAGGUGCGUGAUGCUGUCAGAGUUAGCAAGUGAUCAAGAGAAAGCGGGAAAACUAGCUGAUGACUCUAAGGAAAAUUAUGUCUACAGGCUACUGGUAGACAUAUCAACUCCGUACUCUAGUCGGAUUAAAAUCCUACGGCUUUUAAUGGCCCUUGAUUACCAACAUGCACAUAGGUUGUUGAACCGCGUACUCGCUUGGUCAUUUGGGUUCCUCUACACAAAACUGACGAUGAUACUCAGUGGCCUUGGCUUCUGUUUGCAUCUCUUGCUUCCAUUCCUGACCUUAGCUUCUGCCAUCCUCUUCUCCACAAGCCACAAAUAUCAUGACUACAACGCAACAGAUGUCAAGAUAACUUACAUCUUGUUCUUUUGUACCAUGCAUGUUGCUGGAUUUCCUAUUGCUCUUGCUUGGUCCUUGGAUCGGAGCCUUUGGAUAUAUCAAGGUUCCCCAAUAUAG